Molecule: long non-coding RNA, 2080 nt
Organism: Ctenopharyngodon idella (grass carp)
Lineage: Eukaryota; Metazoa; Chordata; Actinopteri; Cypriniformes; Xenocyprididae
Exons: 4
Source: RefSeq, a predicted model, not a curated record
UUCAGGGAGCACCUGUGCCUGAAAAGACCUCAAAGCAGAAAAAAAUAAAGAUCCUUGAGCCACUGAGACGAGAGCUACUGCAGCAGAAGCCUCAAGUUUCUCUUCAGGUAGCACCGCUUGACAACAUCUCAAAGAGGCAAAAGCUCAAGAUUCCUGAGCCUUUGAGACGAGAGCUUCUGCAGCAGAAGUCUCAAGCUUCUUUUUCUUUUCAGAGAACACUGCCUGACAACAUCUCAAAGAGGCAAAAGCUCAAGAUUCCUGAACCACUGAGACGAGAGCUACUGCAGCAAAAGCCUCAAGCUUCUCUUCAGGGAGCUCUGUCUGACAACAUCUCAAAGAGGCAAAAGCUCAAGGUUCCUGAGCCUAUAAAACAGGAGCUGCUACAACAAAAUCCUCAAGCAUCUUCUCUUCAGGGAGCACUUGUGCCUGACAAGACCCCUAAGAGGCAAAAACUAAAGAUCCCGGAGCCACUGAAGAAGGAGAUGCUCCAGCAGAAGCCUGUCAGUUGGACACAGGGAGCACCCGUCCCUGACAAGAUCCCAGAGAAGAAAAAACUGAAAAUCCCUGAGCUGCUGAGAAAGGAGUUGUUACAGCAGAAGCCCAAAGCCUCUUUCGUACAGGGAGCCAUGCCUGCCAAGUCACCACAGGAUACUCCUAUACCUGACAGGACCCCAGUGGGAGCUCCUGUGCAUGCCAGGACUCCACAGGGAGCUGCAGUGCCCGUUAGGUCUCCAAAGGGAGCAGAUAUCCCCUCACGGAUCCCAAAAGGUGCGCUUGUGCAUUCUGGGACCUCACAAGGAGCACUUGUGCCUGCAGGUUCCCCACAACAGGUAGAAAUCCCUAAGCAGCAGAGGCAAAAGCAGAGAAAGCAGCAGAGAGAGCAGAUGCAACAGAAUAUCCCAAAGGGAGCGUCUGUGCCUCCUAAGACCUCACAGAGAGCACUUCUUCCACCUUGUUCCCCACAAGGAGUGUCCAAGUUUCAACAGGAAGCACUUAUGGCUGCCAGUGCUCCACAAGCUGCACCAGUGCCCGUGAACCUGUCCCUAUUCCUACAGGGGACCCCCCAGGGAGCAGAAGUGCCCGAUACCAUAAAGCAAGGGAAAUGCUGGAUCCCUCAACAUCUGAGGCAGCAGAAGCCCAGUCCCUUAGUACAGUCCCUUCCUGGACCACCCAUGUCCAGUCAGAGUAAGAGGCUGUGCCCGUGGAGCACAGAAGCACCUGUAAGUCCUUUCCAUCUCUCAUUUAAAAAAAAAAAAAAAAAAUGAAUCAUUGACUUCAAAUAUGCUACUAUGUUUUCUAGGUACUCUAUUAAAAAUCUUUUAUAUUGUAUUUCAAAAAGAUAGAAAGAUAUGUCUUUAGAUUUAGUCUAAGAAGCACUCAUUAAAGCUGCCCAACAUGAUUAUGUUUGUUCCUUCAACAGGACAAUGUAGGUGUGUGUCAGCCACCUCCACAAAAUAAAAUAUGUGUGGAAAUUGACAAGAAGGUGCAGCAAAGGAGCCAGAACCAGAUAAGCACUUCACGCCUUGACCAGAGCAGCCUUCAGCCCAGGUCCCAGCUGAACCGGAAGAGAGCACUGGACAACGUAGGUGUGUGUCAGCCACCUCCACAAAAUAAAAUAUGUGUGGAAAUUGACAAGAAGGUGCAGCUAAGGAGCCAGAACCACAUAAGCACUUCACGCCUCGACCAGAGCAGCCUUCAGCUCAGGUCCCGGCUGAACCGGAAGAGAGCAUUGGACAAUGUAGGUGUGUGUCAGCCACCUCCACAAAAUAAAAUAUGUGUGGAAAUUGACAAGAAGGAGAAGCGAAGGAGCCAGAACCACAUAAGCUCUUCACGCCUCGACCAGAGCAGCCUUCAGCUCAGGUCCCGGCUGAACCGGAAGAGAGCAUUGGACAAUGCAGGUGUGGACCAGUCACCUCCACAUAAAAAGCAGCGCUUGGCAAUCAAAGACCAGCAGUUGGAACCAGGGAGCUUUAAGCAAAUGUGCUAUUUAUGUAGCAUAUUCAUACAUUUUUGUAACGUUUUAAAUAUUUAAUAUAUAAUAUGUCAUGUUAAUUUGUUAUAUUGUUUUUUUUAUUAUUUG